GAUGAAGAACGUAGCGAAAUGCGAUAACUAAUGUGAAUUGCAGAAUUCAGUGAAUCAUCGAAUCUUUGAACGCACAUUGCGCCCGCUAGUAUUCUGGCGGGCAUGCCUGUUCGAGCGUCAUUUCAACCAUCAAGCCCUGCUUGUGUUGGGGUCCUGCGGCUGCCCGCAGGCCCUGAAAACCAGUGGCGGGCUCGCUAGUCACACCGAGCGCAGUAGCACAUCUCGCUCAGGGCGUGCGGCGGGUUCUUGCCGUAAAACACCCCCUUUUUACCAAGGUUGACCUCGGAUCAGGUAGGAAUACCCGCUGAACUUAAGCAUAUCAAUAAGCGGAGGA
Molecule: unclassified non-coding RNA, 334 nt
Filed under: soil metagenome
Description: partial contains 5.8S ribosomal RNA, internal transcribed spacer 2, and large subunit ribosomal RNA
Rfam family: 5.8S ribosomal RNA (bases 1-120)
Source: RNAcentral